Molecule: long non-coding RNA, 745 nt
Organism: Gallus gallus (chicken)
Lineage: Eukaryota; Metazoa; Chordata; Aves; Galliformes; Phasianidae
Source: Ensembl
CUGUGGGCCAUUUCAAAACUGAGCUCUUAAUGAUUCCACACCUAAUUUAUUUUGAGCAGGAAUGAAAUGCCUUGAAUUAUGAAAAUAAUUUCCUUUUACUUUUGGGGACCAUGUUUCAGAGUUCAGUCACUAAAUACAGUAGGUAAAUAAAGAUGCUCAGGAAGUUUAUGUACUAAAAUAUAGAAAUGUACCUGUGUUCUUGGCUGGCCAAAAAUUGAGUUAUAGCUUGCAGUAGCAAUAUUUUGAGAAAAGAAAGGACUAAGAUGUUUAUUCUUUAGUGUGAUAGCUGGUGAGAUGUAUAAAUAGAUGUUUCAGUGGGCAUUCAGGCACACCAAUUUGUUUUUCGGCUCAUCCGUUAUGGAGAGCUUCAGGAAAUCUGCUGGUAUGCUUACGUUGAUAGACUUUUCUGUGAAGUGUUCCAUAUGUUUUCAGCAUUCCAGUGACUUCAGACAGUGUAAGCAUGUUCAAGCACACCUGGAGGGGGGGCCGGGUUGGCCUUGGCUCCACUGGAAACACAGUGUCAUUGUCUCAACAAGAUGCUAUGAUGCCAGCAAAAGAUCAGUACCUUGACGAGGAGCUGCUGGCUCAAAACCACGGUAAUAUUUGAUUGUUGGAACACUUUCCAAAGCAGUUCCCAUGGUGUGAAAUUCUAGCAACCUGAUUUGUCUCUCUGCUGAGCAAUUGAGUUGAUUCAUCUGUAACAACGUCUGCCAGCCUCAGAUAACAAGAAAAAUUGCACCGUCUA